This 389-nucleotide ribosomal RNA is filed under the name uncultured bacterium. RNAcentral's name for it is "bacterial SSU rRNA". It matches the Rfam family "Bacterial small subunit ribosomal RNA", at positions 29 to 419 of the family's 1533-position model. The record is from RNAcentral.
AUUGAACGCUGGCGGCAUGCCUUACACAUGCAAGUCGAACGGUAACGCGGGGGCAACCCUGGCGACGAGUGGCGAACGGGUGAGUAAUACAUCGGAACGUACCCAGUAGUGGGGGAUAGCUCGGCGAAAGCCGGAUUAAUACCGCAUACGACCUAUGGGUGAAAGCGGGGGAUCGCAAGACCUCGCGCUAUUGGAGCGGCCGAUGUCGGAUUAGCUAGUUGGUGAGGUAAAGGCNCACCAAGGCUACGAUCCGUAGCUGGUCUGAGAGGACGACCAGCCACACUGGGACUGAGACACGGCCCAGACUCCUACGGGAGGCAGCAGUGGGGAAUUUUGGACAAUGGGCGAAAGCCUGAUCCAGCCAUGCCGCGUGUGUGAAGAAGGCCUGG